Molecule: ribosomal RNA, 2860 nt
Filed under: Klebsiella pneumoniae
Lineage: Bacteria; Pseudomonadati; Pseudomonadota; Gammaproteobacteria; Enterobacterales; Enterobacteriaceae
Also listed under: 1 other name
Description: bacterial LSU rRNA
Rfam family: Bacterial large subunit ribosomal RNA
Source: RNAcentral
UUAAGCGACUAAGCGUACACGGUGGAUGCCCUGGCAGUCAGAGGCGAUGAAGGACGUGCUAAUCUGCGAAAAGCGUCGGUAAGGUGAUAUGAACCGUUAUANCACUAUCGUUAACUGAAUACAUAGGUUAACGAGGCGAACCGGGGGAACUGAAACAUCUAAGUACCCCGAGGAAAAGAAAUCAACCGAGAUUCCCCCAGUAGCGGCGAGCGAACGGGGAGCAGCCCAGAGUCUGAAUCAGCUUGUGUGUUAGUGGAACGGUCUGGAAAGUCCGACGGUACAGGGUGAUAGUCCCGUACACCAAAAUGCACAGGCUGUGAACUCGAAGAGUAGGGCGGGACACGUGGUAUCCUGUCUGAAUAUGGGGGGACCAUCCUCCAAGGCUAAAUACUCCUGACUGACCGAUAGUGAACCAGUACCGUGAGGGAAAGGCGAAAAGAACCCCGGCGAGGGGAGUGAAAAAGAACCUGAAACCGUGUACGUACAAGCAGUGGGAGCACCUUCGGGUGUGACUGCGUACCUUUUGUAUAAUGGGUCAGCGACUUAUAUUCUGUAGCAAGGUUAACCGUAUAGGGGAGCCGCAGGGAAACCGAGUCUUAACUGGGCGUUAAGUUGCAGGGUAUAGACCCGAAACCCGGUGAUCUAGCCAUGGGCAGGUUGAAGGUUGGGUAACACUAACUGGAGGACCGAACCGACUAAUGUUGAAAAAUUAGCGGAUGACUUGUGGCUGGGGGUGAAAGGCCAAUCAAACCGGGAGAUAGCUGGUUCUCCCCGAAAGCUAUUUAGGUAGCGCCUCGUGAACUCAUCUUCGGGGGUAGAGCACUGUUUCGGCUAGGGGGUCAUCCCGACUUACCAACCCGAUGCAAACUACGAAUACCGAAGAAUGUUAUCACGGGAGACACACGGCGGGUGCUAACGUCCGUCGUGAAGAGGGAAACAACCCAGACCGCCAGCUAAGGUCCCAAAGUCAUGGUUAAGUGGGAAACGAUGUGGGAAGGCACAGACAGCCAGGAUGUUGGCUUAGAAGCAGCCAUCAUUUAAAGAAAGCGUAAUAGCUCACUGGUCGAGUCGGCCUGCGCGGAAGAUGUAACGGGGCUAAACCAUGCACCGAAGCUGCGGCAGCGACACUAUGUGUUGUUGGGUAGGGGAGCGUUCUGUAAGCCUGCGAAGGUGACCUGUGAGGGUUGCUGGAGGUAUCAGAAGUGCGAAUGCUGACAUAAGUAACGAUAAAGCGGGUGAAAAGCCCGCUCGCCGGAAGACCAAGGGUUCCUGUCCAACGUUAAUCGGGGCAGGGUGAGUCGACCCCUAAGGCGAGGCCGAAAGGCGUAGUCGAUGGGAAACAGGUUAAUAUUCCUGUACUUGGUGUUACUGCGAAGGGGGGACGGAGAAGGCUAUGUUAGCCGGGCGACGGUUGUCCCGGUUUAAGCAUGUAGGCUGGUUAUCCAGGCAAAUCCGGAUAAUCAAGGCUGAGGUGUGAUGACGAGGCACUACGGUGCUGAAGUAACAAAUGCCCUGCUUCCAGGAAAAGCCUCUAAGCAUCAGGUAACAUCAAAUCGUACCCCAAACCGACACAGGUGGUCAGGUAGAGAAUACCAAGGCGCUUGAGAGAACUCGGGUGAAGGAACUAGGCAAAAUGGUGCCGUAACUUCGGGAGAAGGCACGCUGGUGUGUAGGUGAAGCCCCUGCGGGUGGAGCUGAGACCAGUCGAAGAUACCAGCUGGCUGCAACUGUUUAUUAAAAACACAGCACUGUGCAAACACGAAAGUGGACGUAUACGGUGUGACGCCUGCCCGGUGCCGGAAGGUUAAUUGAUGGGGUUAUCCGUAAGGAGAAGCUCUUGAUCGAAGCCCCGGUAAACGGCGGCCGUAACUAUAACGGUCCUAAGGUAGCGAAAUUCCUUGUCGGGUAAGUUCCGACCUGCACGAAUGGCGUAAUGAUGGCCAGGCUGUCUCCACCCGAGACUCAGUGAAAUUGAACUCGCUGUGAAGAUGCAGUGUACCCGCGGCAAGACGGAAAGACCCCGUGAACCUUUACUAUAGCUUGACACUGAACAUUGAGCCUUGAUGUGUAGGAUAGGUGGGAGGCUUUGAAGCGUGGACGCCAGUCUGCGUGGAGCCAACCUUGAAAUACCACCCUUUAAUGUUUGAUGUUCUAACGUUGGCCCCUUAUCGGGGUUGCGGACAGUGUCUGGUGGGUAGUUUGACUGGGGCGGUCUCCUCCCAAAGCGUAACGGAGGAGCACGAAGGUUAGCUAAUCCUGGUCGGACAUCAGGAGGUUAGUGCAAUGGCAUAAGCUAGCUUGACUGCGAGCGUGACGGCGCGAGCAGGUGCGAAAGCAGGUCAUAGUGAUCCGGUGGUUCUGAAUGGAAGGGCCAUCGCUCAACGGAUAAAAGGUACUCCGGGGAUAACAGGCUGAUACCGCCCAAGAGUUCAUAUCGACGGCGGUGUUUGGCACCUCGAUGUCGGCUCAUCACAUCCUGGGGCUGAAGUAGGUCCCAAGGGUAUGGCUGUUCGCCAUUUAAAGUGGUACGCGAGCUGGGUUUAGAACGUCGUGAGACAGUUCGGUCCCUAUCUGCCGUGGGCGCUGGAGAAUUGAGGGGGGCUGCUCCUAGUACGAGAGGACCGGAGUGGACGCAUCACUGGUGUUCGGGUUGUCAUGCCAAUGGCACUGCCCGGUAGCUAAAUGCGGAAGAGAUAAGUGCUGAAAGCAUCUAAGCACGAAACUUGCCCCGAGAUGAGUUCUCCCUGAGACUUUAAGUCUCCUGAAGGAACGUUAAAGACGAUGACGUUGAUAGGCCGGGUGUGUAAGCGCAGCGAUGCGUUGAGCUAACCGGUACUAAUGAACCGUGAGGCUUAACCUU